Molecule: ribosomal RNA, 468 nt
Filed under: uncultured archaeon
Lineage: Archaea
Description: bacterial SSU rRNA
Rfam family: Archaeal small subunit ribosomal RNA
Source: RNAcentral
CGACAGUGCGAUAGGGGGAUUCCGAGUGCGAGGGCAUACAGUCCUCGCUUUUCUGGACCGUAAGGAGGUCCAAGAAUAAGGGCUGGGCAAGACCGGUGCCAGCCGCCGCGGUAAUACCGGCAGCCCGAGUGAUGGCCGAUAUUAUUGGGCCUAAAGCGUUCGUAGCCGGCCAGACAAGUCUGUUGGGAAAUCCACGCGCUCAACGCGUGGGCGUCCAGCGGAAACUGUCUGGCUUGGGGCCGGAGGACUCGAGGGGUACGUCCGGGGUAGGAGUGAAAUCCCGUAAUCCUGGACGGACCACCGGUGGCGAAAGCGCCUCGAGAGGACGGACCCGACGGUGAGGAACGAAAGCCAGGGUCUCGAACCGGAUUAGAUACCCGGGUAGUCCUGGCCGUAAACGAUGUCUGCUAGGUGUGGCACAGGCUACGAGCCUGUGCUGUGCCGCAGGGAAGCCGUGAAGCAGACCGC